RNAcentral lists this long non-coding RNA (239 nucleotides) under Setaria viridis. RNAcentral describes it as "long non-coding RNA (SVIR_LNC009453)". The record is from RNAcentral. Lineage: Eukaryota; Viridiplantae; Streptophyta; Magnoliopsida; Poales; Poaceae.
UUGAACAAACUUUUCCCAGGUUUCCUCCCCAACCAAGAAGGUAAGGACUACACACCCCCACCGGUUACUUCUACAUCCGAAUCUCGGGACGAGAUUCUUUUUAAGGGGGGUAGGCUGUAAUGACCUCGGUUAAAAUCCUUCACGUUAAUCUUAAUCCGAGUCCCUGAUCCCCAUCCCAGCCUUCCCGAGUUUAAGUACUCAACCUCCAGCCCCGGUUCCGACCCUGGAGAUCCGACCCC